CCUACGGGAGGCAGCAGUGAGGAAUAUUGGUCAAUGGACGAGAGUCUGAACCAGCCAAGUAGCGUGAAGGAUGACUGCCCUAUGGGUUGUAAACUUCUUUUAUAUGGGAAUAAAAUGUUCCACGUGUGGGAUUUUGUAUGUACCAUAUGAAUAAGGAUCGGCUAACACCGUGCCAGCAGCCGCGGUAAUACGGAGGAUCCGAGCGUUAUCCGGAUUUAUUGGGGUUAAAGGGAGCGUAGGUGGAUUGUUAAGUCAGUUGUGAAAGUUUGCGGCUCAACCGUAAAAUUGCAGUUGAAACUGGCAGUCUUGAGUACAGUAGAGGUGGGCGGAAUUCGUGGUGUAGCGGUGAAAUGCUUAGAUAUCACGAAGAACUCCGAUUGCGAAGGCAGUUCACUGGACUGCAACUGACACUGAGGCUCGAAAGUGUGGGUAUCAAACAGGAUUAGAUACCCUUGUAGUC
RNAcentral lists this ribosomal RNA (460 nucleotides) under uncultured bacterium. Its description in RNAcentral is "partial 16S ribosomal RNA". It matches the Rfam family "Bacterial small subunit ribosomal RNA", at positions 338 to 795 of the family's 1533-position model. The record is from RNAcentral.